AAAGAAAGUAAGCAAGAUAAAUAAGUAGAAUAUGAUAUAGUUCCUCAGACGCUGAUAGACAGCAAGAAGAAACAUAAAGCAAGAAAGGUGCGCGUAGGAGGAGCUAUGACAUUUCACAGAGGUGGUCAGUCAGGGCUGCUCUCUGAAGGUGACAGUGGGUGAAGACAUGAGGGCUCCCACUCUGAGUGGGACCAGCCACAGCAAGUGCAGGGCCCCAGGUGGGAUAGUCCCUGGUGGGUCUGGAAAGCAGCAAAGGGGGUGGGGUGGAGUGGAGGGGGAGGAGGAAAGUGGGAGGAGGUGAGAUUGGCCAGCAUGGGGUGGACCCUGAUGAGGAGUCUGGGCUUCUCCUCCGAGAGAAAUGGAAGCUGUAGGAGGGCUCUGAGCAGGGGCGUCAUGUGACUUUGCAAAAUAAGGAAAGGCACAGAGACAGAGAGAGACAGAGAAACGGAGACAGAUCAUACAUGAGACAUACAAAAGGAACAGGAUUGAAAAAAACAAAAAAAUGAGACAGAAGACAAAGACAGAGGUCAGAGGCCAAAAUAUGGGGAGACAGACAGAUUUAGAGAGAGACCCAGAGGGUAACGAGGUAAGAACAACACACAGGCAGAGAGACAGAGAGACAGACAGACAGAGAGAGGCCGUCAGACAUCAGGUCUGACAGACCAGCUGUGGGAUUCACUUCCUCUCUUUGGGCCUCAGUUUCCCUCCUGAGGACUUCUCAAUGACGUCCUUCCUUUUCUAACAUUUGAGGUCUAGGGCUGGAAGGAAUCAGAGGUUUUCCGCCUCCCAGAAUCAAACGAUUCUCCUGCCUCAGCCUCCCGAGUAGCUGGGAUUACAGGCGUCUGCCACCACGCCCGGCUAAUUUUUUGUAUUUUUAGUAGAGGCGGGGUUUCACCAUGUUGGCCAAGCUGGUCUUGAACUCCUGACCUCAGGUGAUCCGCC
Molecule: long non-coding RNA, 942 nt
Filed under: Homo sapiens (human)
Lineage: Eukaryota; Metazoa; Chordata; Mammalia; Primates; Hominidae
Description: HSALNT0259605
Source: RNAcentral